AAAGUGUUUCCUUGUUAGAAGAUGCAGAUCCAAAGACUUAUAUGGACUUUGGCUACACCAUUAAAU
Molecule: small RNA, 66 nt
Filed under: Arabidopsis thaliana (thale cress)
Lineage: Eukaryota; Viridiplantae; Streptophyta; Magnoliopsida; Brassicales; Brassicaceae
Description: ATSL198690
Source: RNAcentral